GUAGGUGGCAAGCGUUGUUCGGAAUUAUUGGGCGUAAAGCGCGCGCAGGCGGUUCUUUAAGUCUGAUGUGAAAGCCCACGGGCUCAACCGUGAGGGUCAUUGGAAACUGGAGAACUUGAGUACAGAAGAGGAAAGCGGAAUUCCACGUGUAGCGGUGAAAUGCGUAGAGAUGUGGAGGAACACCAGUGGCGAAGGCGGCUUUCUGGUCUGUAACUGACGCUGAGGCGCGGAAGCGUGGGGAGCAAACAGGAUUAGAUACCCUGGUAGUCCACGCCGUAAACGAUGAGUGCUAAGUGUUAGGGGGUUUCCGCCCCUUAGUGCUGCAGCUAACGCAUUAAGCACUCCGCCUGGGGAGUACGGCCGCAAGGCUG
RNAcentral lists this ribosomal RNA (371 nucleotides) under uncultured organism. RNAcentral's name for it is "partial 16S ribosomal RNA". It matches the Rfam family "Bacterial small subunit ribosomal RNA", at positions 527 to 896 of the family's 1533-position model. The record is from RNAcentral.